UUAAUGUUUUGCCCAAUGUUCUUGUGCAAUAAAUAGCUUAAACUCCAUUUGAUGAUGAUUUGGUUUUUAGUUUUCUGAAUUUGAAAUUCAUGCUUGUUUCCUCUCAUGUUCCAAGCUGGACUAUCAACUUUAUUAAAGAAACACUUGAAUUCUUAAUCAAAUUCUAAAAAUGAAGUUAUCUAGGGGGAUUUAAAUAAAUAUUUACCUUUUUUUCUUCUUCUUUUUUUCCUAUCUCUCGUGCUCACUUUUUUUACUUUUUCCUCUUCUGUCACUUUCUUAGGUCGGAUGUUCUGGGUCAAUUCAUGCCCUUUGUUGGAAUGGAUUGGUCACAAACAGGUGUCACAAAUUUAUUUUCUGCUAUUAAGGAAAAUGGGUACCAAUUGCUUUUUCUCAGUGCACGAUCAAUUUCUCAGGCGUAUCACACCCGCCAAUUUCUUUUCAACCUUAAGCAAGAUGGGAAGGCUUUACCAGAGGGGCCUGUGGUUAAU
Long non-coding RNA from Cucumis melo (muskmelon), 488 nucleotides. RefSeq lists it as uncharacterized. The record is from RefSeq and is a predicted model, not a curated record. Lineage: Eukaryota; Viridiplantae; Streptophyta; Magnoliopsida; Cucurbitales; Cucurbitaceae. The transcript has 3 exons.